Suncus etruscus (white-toothed pygmy shrew) is the source of this 135-nucleotide small nucleolar RNA. Lineage: Eukaryota; Metazoa; Chordata; Mammalia; Eulipotyphla; Soricidae. The record is from RefSeq and is a predicted model, not a curated record.
GUUGGCCUUUAUCAAAGUUGCAGCAACUUCUACAUAGCAGCUGUGAUAAAAGAGGACCCCAAAGUGACAGUUUUUCUUGAAGGUCGCCAUUCUGUUUGUAGUCACUUAUCUGCAACAUUUCGGUAAAAGACUACC